AAUAGAUACCCCGGUAGUCCACGCCGUAAACGGUGGGCACUAGGUGUGGGCGACAUUCCACGUCGUCCGUGCCGCAGCUAACGCAUUAAGUGCCCCGCCUGGGGAGUACGGCCGCAAGGCUAAAACGUCAAAGGAAUUGACGGGGGGCCCGCACAAGCGGCGGAGCAUGUGGCUUAAUUCGACGCAACGCGAAGAACCUUACCAAGGCUUGACAUACACCGGAAACGUCCAGAGAUGGGCGCCCCCUUGUGGUCGGUGUACAGGUGGUGCAUGGCUGUCGUCAGCUCGUGUCGUGAGAUGUUGGGUUAAGUCCCGCAACGAGCGCAACCCUUGUCCCGUGUUGCCAGCAGGCCCUUGUGGUGCUGGGGACUCACGGGGAGACCGCCGGGGUCAACUCGGAGGAAGGUGGGGACGACGUCAAGUCAUCGAUGCCCUUAUGUCUUGGGCUGCACACGUGCUACAAUGGCCGGUACAAUGAGCUGCGAUACCGCGAGGUGGAGCGAAUCUCAAAAGCCGGUCUCAGUUCGGAUUGGGGU
RNAcentral lists this ribosomal RNA (536 nucleotides) under uncultured bacterium. Its description in RNAcentral is "bacterial SSU rRNA". It matches the Rfam family "Bacterial small subunit ribosomal RNA", at positions 777 to 1304 of the family's 1533-position model. The record is from RNAcentral.